AGUGGGCACUCUGUAUCCACUACAGGCACCACUAUGCGUUCGAGAAUGCGUGGAGUGACUUCCAGACCCACCGCAAGGUCGUGGGCCUUGUCACCAUUACCGACUGCCUCUCGGCCAAGGCCUUCGAGAAGCUCCAUGUGCAGAGGAGCUGUAUGGCACCACGCUUAAUGACUCUCAGCUCUUUGUCUUUGUGCUGCAUGGGGAGGUAGCCGAGCAGCCGAGCACCGACGUGGCCUUCAAACUACGAGGACUGCAGGGUGGUGGAGAAGAGGAUCGAGGACUUCACUGAGUCACUCUUCAUCUUGCUCAAGUCCAAGUGGCUGGAUGGGACCCCAACAAGUCUGGGGAAAGGAUCCCCCUCCUCUGCACCUUGUUUGAGAAGGAGGACUUCAUGGGACUGGACACAGACAGCAGAUCGUUUUGGUUACUGAGACCCUCGAAUUCCCAUAUGAAUUAUAACAGCAGCUAAUCAGUUUUUGCAGAGGAGCCCACUGGGAUUGUGAUCGAGACCACGUAGAAUAUACGGAUCACUCUGGGGAGCACUGCCAUUCCAAGAGCACUGUCUUCUGAUCCAGGAAUGUACGUGGCGUGUCUGUCCAGGUGCCCUCACAUCCAGUGGCAUCCAUCCAGACACCAACACUGACACUGGCCAUGCUCAGAACUACCUCAGCCCUGAAGACACAAGUGACAAAUAGAAGGGGGCCGCGCCCUGUUACAGCAGGUGCUCUC
Camelus dromedarius (Arabian camel) is the source of this 729-nucleotide long non-coding RNA. RefSeq lists it as uncharacterized. The record is from RefSeq and is a predicted model, not a curated record. The transcript is spliced from 3 exons. NCBI's taxonomy places the organism in Eukaryota, Metazoa, Chordata, Mammalia, Artiodactyla, Camelidae.